UUGGAGGGCAAGUCUGGUGCCAGCAGCCGCGGUAAUUCCAGCUCCAAUAGCGUAUAUUAAAGUUGUUGCAGUUAAAAAGCUCGUAGUUGAAUUUCGGGACUAAUAUGUCGGUCGUACUUUGUACGUACUAGCAUUAUUGGUUUCUCCCUUCUGACGAACCACGAUGUCAUUAAUUUGGUGUCGCGGGAAAUCAGGACUGUUACUUUGAAAAAAUUAGAGUGUUUAAAGCAAGCUCGCGCUUGAAUACAUUAGCAUGGAAUAAUGAAAUAGGACGUUUGAUUCUAUUUUGUUGGUUUCUAGGAUCGACGUAAUGAUUAAUAGGGAUAGUUGGGGGCAUUAGUAUUCAAUUGUCAGAGGUGAAAUUCUUGGAUUUAUUGAAGACUAACUACUGCGAAAGCAUCUGCCAAGGAUGUUUUCAUUAAUCAAGAACGAAAGUUAGGGGAUCGAAGACGAUCAGAUACCGUCGUAGUCUUAACCAUAAACUAUGCCGACUAGGGAUCGGAUGAUGUUAAUUUUUUAAUGACUCAUUCGGCGCCUUACGGGAAAC
This 547-nucleotide ribosomal RNA is filed under the name uncultured Glomeromycotina. Its description in RNAcentral is "SSU rRNA". It matches the Rfam family "Eukaryotic small subunit ribosomal RNA", at positions 548 to 1098 of the family's 1831-position model. Lineage: Eukaryota; Fungi; Glomeromycota. The record is from RNAcentral.